AGUGAACGCUGGCGGUAGGCCUAACACAUGCAAAUCGAACGGCAGCACAGUAAGAGCUUGCUCUUACGGGUGGCGAGUGGCGGACGGGCGAGGAAUACAUCGGAAUCUACUUUUUCGUGGGGGAUAACGUAGGGAAACUUACGCUAAUACCGCAUACGACCUACGGGUGAAAGCAGGGGAUCUUCGGACCUUGCGCGAUUGAAUGAGCCGAUGUCGGAUUAGCUAGUUGGCGGGGUAAAGGCCCACCAAGGCGACGAUCCGUAGCUGGUCUGAGAGGAUGAUCAGCCACACUGGAACUGAGACACGGUCCAGACUCCUACGGGAGGCAGCAGUGGGGAAUAUUGGACAAUGGGCGCAAGCCUGAUCCAGCCAUACCGCGUGGGUGAAGAAGGCCUUCGGGUUGUAAAGCCCUUUUGUUGGGAAAGAAAAGCAGCAGGUUAAUACCCCGCUGUUCUGACGGUACCCAAAGAAUAAGCACCGGCUAACUUCGUG
This 492-nucleotide ribosomal RNA is filed under the name uncultured bacterium. RNAcentral's name for it is "partial 16S ribosomal RNA". It matches the Rfam family "Bacterial small subunit ribosomal RNA", at positions 29 to 507 of the family's 1533-position model. The record is from RNAcentral.